RNAcentral lists this ribosomal RNA (448 nucleotides) under uncultured bacterium. RNAcentral's name for it is "bacterial SSU rRNA". It matches the Rfam family "Bacterial small subunit ribosomal RNA", at positions 330 to 794 of the family's 1533-position model. The record is from RNAcentral.
CCCAGACUCCUACGGGAGGCAGCAGUGGGGGAUAUUGCACAAUGGGGGAAACCCUGAUGCAGCGACGCCGCGUGAGUGAAGAAGUAUUUCGGUAUGUAAAGCUCUAUCAGCAGGGAAGAAAAAAGACGGUACCUGACUAAGAAGCCCCGGCUAACUACGUGCCAGCAGCCGCGGUAAUACGUAGGGGGCAAGCGUUAUCCGGAUUUACUGGGUGUAAAGGGAGCGUAGACGGCAAUACAAGUCGGAAGUGAAAUACCCGGGCUCAACCUGGGAACUGCUUUGGAAACUGUAUGGCUGGAGUGCUGGAGAGGUAAGCGGAAUUCCUAGUGUAGCGGUGAAAUGCGUAGAUAUUAGGAGGAACACCAGUGGCGAAGGCGGCUUACUGGACAGUAACUGACGUUGAGGCUCGAAAGCGUGGGGAGCAAACAGGAUUAGAUACCCUAGUAGA